Molecule: unclassified non-coding RNA, 273 nt
Filed under: Hevea brasiliensis (rubber tree)
Lineage: Eukaryota; Viridiplantae; Streptophyta; Magnoliopsida; Malpighiales; Euphorbiaceae
Source: RNAcentral
AACAACAUAUUAUGAUGGUAAUCAAUAUCUAGAGCAACCUGAUCGGAGGAUUCAUUAUGAGGCACGGCGUAUGAAUUUCGAAUGUCGACGGUACCAUCGGGUAGGACGGAUCCGAGAAGCGUGCCAAUGACACGUUCGGCUUGGUCAGGCCGCCUCACGUAGCAAUCGCAGAUGUUGAAGAUCACCAAAGGGUGCACUUUCGCCGAAAGGCUCGUCGACGAUGGCGUUGGCGUGAAUUGAAGGACAGUGUGCUCGCUCGCCGCCAUUCUCCGA